Molecule: non-coding RNA, 1364 nt
Organism: Arachis ipaensis
Lineage: Eukaryota; Viridiplantae; Streptophyta; Magnoliopsida; Fabales; Fabaceae
Source: RefSeq, a predicted model, not a curated record
AAUGAAGGUGGUCAAGUGUAGCGAAAUUAUUUCCUCAUCAAACUAUUUAUUUCAUAUGGUUAAUGGAAUUAUUCAAGAUCGGAUCAAGAGAAAGCUUAUAUAAAUAGCAUAUGAAACAACUAGCUCAAGUUCUUGGAAGUGAGGAAGAGGCUAAGAAGAAGAUAUACUCUGUUUCCACUACUUGGCGCCCUCAUUUCCGAAGAGCUUUCUUACAAAGUUAAAGCAUUUUUGAUAUCACAAUUGCUUUGUAUUUAAAAGACUCCUCAACACUCUUAUUUCUUGAUGAACCAACAAGUGGACUUGACACUGUUGCCUCUUACUAUGUCAUGAAAAGAAUUAAAUCCCUUGAUCAUAAAUAUGCCAUUCAAAGGACAGUUAUUUCAUCAAUCCAUCAGCCUAGUGCUGAAGUUUUUCAAUUCCUUGAUAAUCUCUGUUUGCUCUCUGCUGGCGAAGCUUGAAGCGAAGCUCGGAAUGAUAGUUAACUCCGUUGGUAACUUCUUCUCUAGCAAAGACCAGCUUCUCCACUAACUGAAUCAAAUCGAAUCAAAUACUUUAUAUAUAAGGUUGCAUAGAUCUUCAAUCUUUUGAUCUAUUCGCACUCCACUAACCAGGUUGGAAUUGAAAUGCAGAGAUUAAAAAAGAAAAGAAAUUAAAAAAGGAUCUAAAAUCAUGAACUGAUUAAAGAGGAAAAGAGAGAGGGCAAAGAGGACCAAAGCUGAAGAUUUUGAUGCUGAAGAGAGAACUCAAAUUUUCCUUUUUAGUUUUCUAAUGCAGUCCCGCAUUUACUCUUUUUGUUCUAAUUCUUAUUUUUGUUUACCUGUAGGUCUGACAGUGAGCUUUUGGGUCCAAACAAUUAGUACCUUCCUAAAAUAGUUUCAGUUUUUGUUGAGGUUUUGUGUGCUGGAAAGGACCUCGCAACGGAACAAACUGCUGGCCGCAUGAUUAAUCUGCUCAGACAACUUCAACAAACUUUACCGCCUGCAACUCUUGCUUCUAGUUAAUGUUGCCCAUUUUUUUGGUCAUCUCUGCAGCCGCAACAACAACUUGCAUUACAAUCCAUCCUUUCUUCAUAGUUUCCAUGGUUUUGCUUCCUUGAAGUCUAUCCUUUCUUGAUAGCGUCACAUCUGAGUUUGCUAUUGGUGUCUUACACUGCUUGGGGACAUGCUUUUUCCGGUUUGGUGGUCUCUCAAUUUGUUACCCAUUCUUUGCCAUAAGAUGGUUUCCAUCAUUCAUUCUUGCAUGGUGUUUUUAUAGCAACAUGGCUUCAGUUUUGAGAAUGCAGAUUCAAUUGUGAUUGGAAAGGAAACUUUCUGUAGAAUGUGUAUAUUACGAGUGUUAAUAGUGCCGUUUAGCCCAAAAUAAGA